AUGAAUGGGCGGGCCUUGAUCCCACAAA
This 28-nucleotide transfer RNA is filed under the name Anolis sagrei (brown anole). RNAcentral describes it as "partial tRNA-Asx". Lineage: Eukaryota; Metazoa; Chordata; Lepidosauria; Squamata; Anolidae. The record is from RNAcentral.